Molecule: ribosomal RNA, 389 nt
Filed under: Hyalomma marginatum
Lineage: Eukaryota; Metazoa; Arthropoda; Arachnida; Ixodida; Ixodidae
Description: partial large subunit ribosomal RNA
Source: RNAcentral
GAGACUGGAUAGAUUUUAAUUGAUGCUAAAAGAAUGGAAAUUUAAAAAAAAACUUUUUUAAAAAUAAAAAUUGAAUUUUUUUUAAUUUGUGCAAAAACAAUUAUACUUAUUAAAGACAAGAAGACCCUAAGAAUUUAAGAUUUUACAAUUAAAAAGUUUUUUUUUUUUAAAAUCUUGAUUGGGGCGAUCAAAAAAUAUUAAUAACUUUUUAAAAUUUAAAUUGAUCUAUUAUUAAUAAACUAAUGAAUUAAAUACUCUAGGGAUAACAGCGUAAUAAUUUUUGAUAGAUCUUAUUGACAAAAUAGUUUGCGACCUCGAUGUUGGAUUAGGAUUCUUUUUUAAUGAAAAAGUUAAAAAAAGAAGUUUGCUCAACUUUUAAAUUCCUACAA